CCAGUCCGCUGUUUGGAACCCUUUCUCCUCCCUCUGAAACAUCAGAGCCCAGCAUCCUGGAAACCUGUGCCCUAAUCAUGAAGAUAAUUUGCUUGGAGAUAUACUAUGUAGUUAAGUGAGUACUUUCCCCUCUUGAGAUUUUAACUGAAGGUUGGGGGAGUGGGAGUUGGUGGCCUACCACUGGGUGCAUGGCUGGAAGAGCCAAGGCAGAGGAGAGAACUGGUUUGGAACCAUUCAUGGAGGGCCAGUGAGCUCUGUUCCUGGCCAAUCCACCGAAGGCAUUUAUGAUUGUCAGAAGGAGUUAUUGUGAAACAAACUCCAUGCAACUGGGAUUUUGUGGAGGAGGAAUCCUGGAAAGGCCUCAGCCUAACCCACACGUUGAAGGUGUCCUG
RNAcentral lists this small RNA (392 nucleotides) under Pongo abelii (Sumatran orangutan). RNAcentral's name for it is "retained intron". Lineage: Eukaryota; Metazoa; Chordata; Mammalia; Primates; Hominidae. The record is from RNAcentral.